CGGGACGGGUGAGUAACGCGUGGGUAACCUGCCUUGUACUGGGGACAACAGUUAGAAAUGACUGCUAAUACCGCAUAAGCGCACAGUAUCGCAUGAUACAGUGUGAAAAACUCCGGUGGUACAAGAUGGACCCGCGUCUGAUUAGCUAGUUGGUAAGGUAACGGCUUACCGAGGCGACGAUCAGUAGCCGACCUGAGAGGGUGACCGGCCACAUUGGGACUGAGACACGGCCCAA
RNAcentral lists this ribosomal RNA (235 nucleotides) under uncultured bacterium. RNAcentral describes it as "partial 16S ribosomal RNA". It matches the Rfam family "Bacterial small subunit ribosomal RNA", at positions 100 to 334 of the family's 1533-position model. The record is from RNAcentral.